AUACGGAGGGUGCAAGCGUUACUCGGAAUCACUGGGCGUAAAGCGCGCGCAGGCGGCUAUUUAAGUUGGAUGUGAAAGCCUACGGCUCAACCGUAGAACUGCAUCCAAAACUAUUUAGCUAGAGUGUGGGAGAGGUAGAUGGAAUUAGUUGUGUAGGGGUAAAAUCCGUAGAGAUAACUAGGAAUACCAAAAGCGAAGGCAAUCUUCUGGAACACUACUGACGCUGAGGCGCGAAAGCGUGGGGAGCAAACAGGAUUAGAAACCCGAGUAGUCC
RNAcentral lists this ribosomal RNA (274 nucleotides) under uncultured bacterium. RNAcentral describes it as "partial 16S ribosomal RNA". It matches the Rfam family "Bacterial small subunit ribosomal RNA", at positions 523 to 796 of the family's 1533-position model. The record is from RNAcentral.